GGCUUAACACAUGCAAGUCGAGCGGGCCCUUCGGGGUCAGCGGCGGACGGGUGAGUAACGCGUGGGAACGUGCUUUCUGAUCUGGAAUAACCCUGGGAAACUAGGGCUAAUACCGGAUACGCCCUUUUGGGGAAAGGUUUACUGCCGGAAGAUCGGCCCGCGUCUGAUUAGCUAGUUGGUGGGGUAACGGCCUACCAAGGCGACGAUCAGUAGCUGGUCUGAGAGGAUGAUCAGCCACACUGGGACUGAGACACGGCCCAGACUCCUACGGGAGGCAGCAGUGGGGAAUAUUGGACAAUGGGCGCAAGCCUGAUCCAGCCAUGCCGCGUGAGUGAUGAAGGCCUUAGGGUUGUAAAGCUCUUUUAUCCGGGACGAUAAUGACGGUACCGGAGGAAUAAGCCCCGGCUAACUUCGUGCCAGCAGCCGCGGUAAUACGAAGGGGGCUAGCGUUGCUCGGAAUCACUGGGCGUAAAGGGCGCGUAGGCGGCGUUUUAAGUCGGGGGUGAAAGCCUGUGGCUCAACCACAGAAUGGCCUUCGAUACUGGGACGCUUGAGUAUGGUAGAGGUUGGUGGAACUGCGAGUGUAGAGGUGAAAUUCGUAGAUAUUCGCAAGAACACCGGUGGCGAAGGCGGCCAACUGGACCAUUACUGACGCUGAGGCGCGA
This 665-nucleotide ribosomal RNA is filed under the name uncultured Alphaproteobacteria bacterium. RNAcentral describes it as "bacterial SSU rRNA". It matches the Rfam family "Bacterial small subunit ribosomal RNA", at positions 45 to 756 of the family's 1533-position model. Lineage: Bacteria; Pseudomonadati; Pseudomonadota; Alphaproteobacteria. The record is from RNAcentral.